AUUGAACGCUGGCGGCAGGCCUAACACAUGCAAGUCGAGCGAGCGGCGGACGGGUGAGUAAUAUAUCGGAACGUGCCCAGUAGCGGGGGAUAACUACUCGAAAGAGUGGCUAAUACCGCAUACUAUUGGAGCGGCCGAUAUCGGAUUAACUAGUUGGUGGGGUAAAGGUGCACAAAGGCAACGAUCCGUAGCUGGUUUGAGAGGACGACCAGCCACACUGGGAAUGUACCGCGGCCCAGACUCCUACGGGAGGCAGCAGUGGGGAAUCUUGGGGAAUGAGGGAAACCCUGAUCGAGCCAUGCCGAGUGUAUGAGACGGCCGUCGGGUUGUAAAGUACUUUUGUCAGAAAAGCGGUAUCUGCAGAAGGAGCACCGGCUAACUACGUGCCAGCGGCCGCCGUAAUUC
This 405-nucleotide ribosomal RNA is filed under the name uncultured bacterium. RNAcentral describes it as "partial 16S ribosomal RNA". It matches the Rfam family "Bacterial small subunit ribosomal RNA", at positions 30 to 526 of the family's 1533-position model. The record is from RNAcentral.